UCAAAGCAGGCUACUCUUGACACUAAAGCCCGAAUGUUAACUGCAUGGAAUGAUGGAAGAUGAUCUCGGUUCCAUUUUGCUGGGCCCCUUUGGGAAUCCGAGUUAAUGAUAAACAGGGACUGUCGGGGGCAUCCGUACUACGACGCGAGAGGUGAAAUUCAGUGACCGUCGUAGGACGAACAACAGCGAAAGCAUUUGCCAAGAAUGUCUUCGUUGAUCAAGAACGAAAGUUAGAGGAUCGAAGGCGAUCAGAUACCGCCCUAGUUCUAACCCUAAACGAUGCUGACCAGCUAUUCGUUAGCGUUAUUCCCAUGACGUGGCGAGACGCCCCCGGGAAACCUCGAGUCUUUGAGUUCCGGGGGUAGUAUGGUUGCAAAACUGAAACUUAAAGGAAUUGACGGAAGGGCACCACCAGGAGUGGAGCCUGCGGCUUAAUUUGACUCAACACGGGAAACCUCACCAGGCCCGGACACCAGAAGGAUUGACAGAUUAAGAGCUCUUUCUCAAUUUGGUGGGUGGUGGUGCAUGGCCGUUCUUAGUUGGUGGAGUGAUUUGUCUGGUUAAUUCCGGUAACGAACGAGACUCUGGCCUACUAACUAGUGGGCGGGUGUUCCGGUAAGGGGCCCCGCCCGACAAAUGUCUUCUUAGAGGGAUGAGCAGCGAGUAUAGCUGCAGGAGAUUGAGCAAUAACAGGUCUGUGAUGCCCUUAGAAG
This 713-nucleotide ribosomal RNA is filed under the name Synalpheus cf. streptodactylus KMH-2014. Its description in RNAcentral is "SSU rRNA". It matches the Rfam family "Eukaryotic small subunit ribosomal RNA", at positions 775 to 1479 of the family's 1831-position model. Lineage: Eukaryota; Metazoa; Arthropoda; Malacostraca; Decapoda; Alpheidae. The record is from RNAcentral.